UUUUUAAAGGAACUCGUUUAUUAAUCGACAUUNCUCGUUAAUUUUAACUUUAAUAAUUAGCUUAUAUACCGCCGUCAAAACUAUUUUACAAAAAAUAUUUUCUUACACACUAAUUAAUGUCAGGUCAAGGUAUAGCCUAUAUUCAAGUCUAAAUAAGUUACUAUAAAAAAAAUUUAUAGAAAUAAAUUAAUACUUACAUAAAAAAGGAUUUAAAAACAAUAUUUUAAUACUAAUUUAAUAUGAAAAUGUUUUAAC
RNAcentral lists this ribosomal RNA (255 nucleotides) under Dysdera silvatica. Its description in RNAcentral is "partial 12S ribosomal RNA". Lineage: Eukaryota; Metazoa; Arthropoda; Arachnida; Araneae; Dysderidae. The record is from RNAcentral.